CUUAUACAAAGGUUGACCUCGGAUCAGGUAGGAAUACCCGC
Molecule: ribosomal RNA, 41 nt
Filed under: Muscodor sp. CA-01
Lineage: Eukaryota; Fungi; Ascomycota; Sordariomycetes; Xylariales
Description: partial 28S ribosomal RNA
Source: RNAcentral